ACUUUGAUUCUGGCUCGGGACGAACGCUGGCGGCGCGCCUAACACAUGCAAGUCGAGCGGGAAGCUUUUUAAGGAUUCUUCGGAUGAAUUAAAAAGUGGAGAGCGGCGGACGGGUGAGUAACGCGUGAGAAACCUGCCCUAUACAGGGGGAUAGCCAUUGGAAACGAUGAUUAAUACCCCAUAUGACCACGGUAUCGCAUGAUACAGCGGUGAAAACUCCGGUGGUAUAGGAUGGUCUCGCGUCUGAUUAGCUAGUUGGUGGGGUAACGGCCUACCAAGGCGACGAUCAGUAGCCGGCCUGAGAGGGUGACCGGCCACACUGGAACUGAGACACGGUCCAGACUCCUACGGGAGGCAGCAGUGGGGAAUAUUGCACAAUGGGCGAAAGCCUGAUGCAGCGACGCCGCGUGAACGAUGAAGGCUUUCGAGUCGUAAAGUUCUGUUCUUGGGGAAGAUAACGACGGUACCCAAGGAGAAAGCACCGGCUAAAUACGUGCCAGCAGCCGCGGUA
Molecule: ribosomal RNA, 511 nt
Filed under: uncultured bacterium
Lineage: Bacteria
Description: bacterial SSU rRNA
Rfam family: Bacterial small subunit ribosomal RNA
Source: RNAcentral